CCUUAAUUCCAUACCACCCUGAACGCGCCCGAUCUCGUCUGAUCUCGGAAGCUAAGCAGGGUCGGGCCUGGUUAGUACUUGGAUGGGCUCCUUAAUUCUGAAGGAAGGCAGGGAUGGGGG
Molecule: ribosomal RNA, 120 nt
Filed under: Neogale vison (American mink)
Lineage: Eukaryota; Metazoa; Chordata; Mammalia; Carnivora; Mustelidae
Source: RNAcentral